CGGCGUGCCUAACACAUGCAAGUCGUACGAGAAAGCCGGCUUCGGCUGGUGAGUAAAGUGGCGCACGGGUGAGUAAACGCGUGGAUAAUCCUGCCCUUAAGUGUGGAAUAACGUACCGAAAGGUGCGCUAAUACCGCAUAAUGCCUGGCAACACAAGUUGUCCGGCCAAAGAAGGCCUCUGUUUACAAGCUUUCGCUUCAGGAUGAGUCCGCGUACCAUUAGCUUGUUGGUGGGGUAAUGGCCUACCAAGGCUGCGAUGGUUAGCUGGUCUGAGAGGAUGAUCAGCCACACUGGAACUGAGACACGGUCCAGACUCCUACGGGAGGCAGCAGUGAGGAAUAUUGCGCAAUGGGGGCAACCCUGACGCAGCAACGCCGCGUGAGUGAGGAAGGUUUUCGGACUGUAAAGCUCUGUCGAGCGGGAAGAAGUGUACCAUGGCUAAUAUCCAUGAUAUUUGACGGUACCGCUAGAGGAAGCACCGGCUAACUCCGUG
Molecule: ribosomal RNA, 493 nt
Filed under: uncultured bacterium
Lineage: Bacteria
Description: bacterial SSU rRNA
Rfam family: Bacterial small subunit ribosomal RNA
Source: RNAcentral